UUGAUAACUUUUGAUCCGGAGCUCCGAUUGACGAGUCGUUUGUGGCCACACGUCGGGCUUGCCGAGCUCUUCAAUUCUAUUCAAACAAAACAGGGUCCACUAGACUUGAUUUCUUGUGGGUAUUGCUCAAGGAUCAGUGGGUAAAGGUAGUGUGUAUGUGAAUAUUGAUGCUUGUUGAAGCUUGUUG
Molecule: non-coding RNA, 187 nt
Organism: Arachis ipaensis
Lineage: Eukaryota; Viridiplantae; Streptophyta; Magnoliopsida; Fabales; Fabaceae
Source: RefSeq, a predicted model, not a curated record